Molecule: ribosomal RNA, 467 nt
Filed under: uncultured bacterium
Lineage: Bacteria
Description: partial 16S ribosomal RNA
Rfam family: Bacterial small subunit ribosomal RNA
Source: RNAcentral
GAUGAACGCUGGCGGCGUGCUUAACACAUGCAAGUCGAACGGAAAGGCCAGUGCUUGCACUGGUGCUCGAGUGGCGAACGGGUGAGUAACACGUGGGUGAUCUGCCCUGCACUUUGGGAUAAGCCUGGGAAACUGGGUCUAAUACCAGAUAGGACCAUGCUUUGGAUGGUGUGGUGGAAAGUUUUUUCGGUGUGGGAUGAGCUUGCGGCCUAUCAGCUUGUUGGUGGGGUAAUGGCCUACCAAGGCGUCGACGGGUAGCCGGCCUGAGAGGGUGUACGGCCACAUUGGGACUGAGAUACGGCCCAGACUCCUACGGGAGGCAGCGGUGGGGAAUAUUGCACAAUGGGCGCAAGCCUGAUGCAGCGACGCCGCGUGGGGGAUGACGGCCUUCGGGUUGUAAACUCCUUUCGCAACUGACGAAGCUUUUUGUGACGGUAGGUGGAGAAGAAGCACCGGCUAACUACGUG